RNAcentral lists this ribosomal RNA (494 nucleotides) under uncultured bacterium. Its description in RNAcentral is "partial 16S ribosomal RNA". It matches the Rfam family "Bacterial small subunit ribosomal RNA", at positions 28 to 507 of the family's 1533-position model. The record is from RNAcentral.
GACGAACGCUGGCGGCGUGCUUAACACAUGCAAGUCGAACGGUGAAGCGCCUUCCUUUUUGGUGGGUGGGGAGGAGUGGCGAACUGGUGAGUAACACGAGAGUAACCUGCUCCCUCUUGCUGGAUAACCGCAUGAAAGUGUGGCUAAUACGUGAUAUUCUGGAUCUGUUGGAUGAAUGGUCUGGGACAGAUUUGGUGUCGGUGGUGGAUGGGCCCGCGCCGUAUCAGCUUGUUGGUGAGGUGAUGGCCUACCAAGGCGAUGACGGGUAGCCGGCCUGAGAGGGUGGACGGCCAUAGAGGGGCUGAGAGGCCGAGAAGACUACGACGGGCAGCAGCAGGGAAGAAUCUUGCACGGUCGGAAGAAGGCUGAUGCAGCGACGCCGCGUGGGGGAUGGACGCCGUCGCGUUGUGAACCUCUUUCGGGAGUGAAGCAAGGUUGACUUGUUUGUGGGUGUGUUGACGGUAGCUGGAGAAGAAGCGCCGGCUAACUACGUG